RNAcentral lists this unclassified non-coding RNA (263 nucleotides) under plant metagenome. Its description in RNAcentral is "partial contains small subunit ribosomal RNA, internal transcribed spacer 1, and 5.8S ribosomal RNA". The record is from RNAcentral.
UUUCCGUAGGUGAACCAGCGGAAGGAUCAUUAUUGUAUAACCGAGGUGCGAGGGCUGUCGCUGACCCGAAAGGUCGUGCACGCCCAAGUGCCCUCACACACAUCCAUCUCACCCCUAUGUGCACCACCGCGUGGGUCCCCCUUUGGCUUGUUCGGAGGGGGGCUUACGUUUUCACACAAACUUUGUAUGCAGUGUAGAAUGUAUUUUUUGUUUUUGCGAUCACGCAAUCAAUACAACUUUCAACAACGGAUCUCUUGGCUCUC